GGGGCGGCGGCUACCAUGCAAGUCGAGCGGUAGCACAGAGAGCUUGCUCUCGGGUGACGAGCGGCGGACGGGUGAGUAAUGUCUGGGAAACUGCCUGAUGGAGGGGGAUAACUACUGGAAACGGUAGCUAAUACCGCAUAAUGUCGCAAGACCAAAGUGGGGGACCUUCGGGCCUCAUGCCAUCAGAUGUGCCCAGAUGGGAUUAGCUAGUAGGUGGGGUAACGGCUCACCUAGGCGACGAUCCCUAGCUGGUCUGAGAGGAUGACCAGCCACACUGGAACUGAGACACGGUCCAGACUCCUACGGGAGGCAGCAGUGGGGAAUAUUGCACAAUGGGCGCAAGCCUGAUGCAGCCAUGCCGCGUGUGUGAAGAAGGCCUUCGGGUUGUAAAGCACUUUCAGCGGGGAGGAAGGCGUUAAGGUUAAUAACCUUGGCGAUUGACGUUACCCGCAGAAGAAGCACCGGCUAACUCCGUGCCAGCAGCCGCGGUAAUACGGAGGGUGCAAGCGUUAAUCGGAAUUACUGGGCGUAAAGCGCACGCAGGCGGUCUGUCAAGUCGGAUGUGAAAUCCCCGGGCUCAACCUGGGAACUGCAUUCGAAACUGGCAGGCUAGAGUCUUGUAGAGGGGGGUAGAAUUCCAGGUGUAGCGGUGAAAUGCGUAGAGAUCUGGAGGAAUACCGGUGGCGAAGGCGGCCCCCUGGACAAAGACUGACGCUCAGGUGCGAAAGCGUGGGGAGCAAACAGGAUUAGAUACCCUGGUAGUCCACGCCGUAAACGAUGUCGAUUUGGAGGUUGUGCCCUUGAGGCGUGGCUUCCGGAGCUAACGCGUUAAAUCGACCGCCUGGGGAGUACGGCCGCAAGGUUAAAACUCAAAUGAAUUGACGGGGGCCCGCACAAGCGGUGGAGCAUGUGGUUUAAUUCGAUGCAACGCGAAGAACCUUACCUGGUCUUGACUCCACAGAACUUUCCAGAAAUGGAUUGGUGCCUUCGGGAACUGUGAAAAAGUGCUGCUGGCUGUCCCACC
This 1024-nucleotide ribosomal RNA is filed under the name Klebsiella pneumoniae. RNAcentral describes it as "bacterial SSU rRNA". It matches the Rfam family "Bacterial small subunit ribosomal RNA", at positions 39 to 1059 of the family's 1533-position model. The record is from RNAcentral. Lineage: Bacteria; Pseudomonadati; Pseudomonadota; Gammaproteobacteria; Enterobacterales; Enterobacteriaceae.